This 460-nucleotide ribosomal RNA is filed under the name uncultured bacterium. RNAcentral describes it as "partial 16S ribosomal RNA". It matches the Rfam family "Bacterial small subunit ribosomal RNA", at positions 338 to 795 of the family's 1533-position model. The record is from RNAcentral.
CCUACGGGAGACAGCAGUGAGGAAUAUUGGUCAAUGGACGAGAGUCUGAACCAGCCAAGUAGCGUGAAGGAUGACUGCCCUAUGGGUUGUAAACUUCUUUUAUAUGGGAAUAAAACGCUCCACGUGUGGGAUUUUGUAUGUACCAUAUGAAUAAGGAUCGGCUAACUCCGUGCCAGCAGCCGCGGUAAUACGGAGGAUCCGAGCGUUAUCCGGAUUUAGUGGGUUUAAAGGGAGCGUAGGUGGAUUGUUAAGUCAGUUGUGAAAGUUUGCGGCUCAACCGUAAAAUUGCAGUUGAAACUGGCAGUCUUGAGUACAGUAGAGGUGGGCGGAAUUCGUGGUGUAGCGGUGAAAUGCUUAGAUAUCACGAAGAACUCCGAUUGCGAAGGCAGCUCACUGGACUGCAACUGACACUGAGGCUCGAAAGUGUGGGUAUCAAACAGGAUUAGAUACCCGUGUAGUC